UCCCGGUUGGCCCGGGCGGUCUCGUCUGAAAGAUCCAACAGACGACAAGGGUUGCGCUCGUUGCGGGACUUAACCCAACAUCUCACGACACGAGCUGACGACGGCCAUGCAACACCUGUCACUAGAUUCCCGAAGGCACUCCCCUAUUUCUAGGGGAUUCCUAGGAUGUCAAGCCUCGGUAAGGUUCUUCGCGUAGCUUCGAAUUAAACCACAUGCUCCACCGCUUGUGCGGGUCCCCGUCUAUUCCUUUGAGUUUUAAGCUUGCGCUCGUACUCCCCAGGCGGGGUGCUUAACGCGUUAGCUUCUCAGCCCAGGGGGUCGAUACCCCCCACACCUAGCAUCCACCGUUUAGGGCGUGGACUAC
RNAcentral lists this unclassified non-coding RNA (364 nucleotides) under uncultured bacterium. RNAcentral describes it as "contains 16S-23S intergenic spacer region". The record is from RNAcentral.